GUUUAUAGUGCCAAAGAAGUGUUCAGGUGUUUUGCUGAGAACGGGGAAAGCCGUUCUAGGAAACCCCUGUAAGGCAAAGGACUCAGACCUGCCCAGAUCGAGGUGCUCUCUCAAAUCUGCCAGGGUUGGAUUACACUCAGUAACUCAACCAGCAUCCAUCCCUCAGCUAUUUCCAGAGCGCCACCUACUGCCAGGCUCCAGGGCGUGCAGCAGUGAAAGCCAGUCAUUGACCCUGCAGUGGGGAGCUUACCUUCUAGCCGCCAAUAUCCAUGAUCCAAAAAGCAGGCCGUGGUACCGCUGGGAUUCACCUCCUCUCCCCAAGCCAUUUCCAGCUUCAUAGAAAAGGUGAGAAAACCGAGGGACAGUGGGGUAACAUGACUUGCUCCAGGGCACACGGUUAAGAAAGUGACAGAGCUGAAAGGAACUUCUGCAACGCAACAACCGGAAAAGAAAAGCAACCCGAGUCAAAACUGAGCAAAGGACGGGCACACAUGCACAUUUCUCUGAAGAAAGCAUCAAAUGGUCAGCAAGCACACGGAAAGAUGCUUGACGUCAGUAAUCGUCAGGAAAAUACAAACCAACACUACAAUGCAAUGCCACUUCACACCUAGUAGGAGCAUUAUUAUAAAAAAAGAAAGGAAGAAAGAAGAAAACAAGUGUUGGUGAGAAUGUGGAGAAACUGGAACCCUUGUGCAUUGCUGGUGGGAUACACAAUGGAGCAGCCAUUGUAGAAAAACUAUAUGAAUAUGGCGGCUCUGCAAAAAAUUGAACAUACAGCUACCACAUGAUUCAGCAAUUCCACUUCUAAGUAUAUACCCCAAAUAAUUCAAAGCUGAUACUUGUGAACAGACACUUGUACACCCAUAAGUUCACAGCAGCGUUGGUCACAAUAGCCAAAAAGUGGAAACAUUGCAAAUCUCCACUGAUACAUGAAUGGAUAGACAAAAUGUGGUGUAUCCAUUCAGUGGGUGAGUAUUCAGCCCCAAAAAGGAAUUACAUUCUGACACAUGCUACAAGAUGGAUGAACCUUAAAAAUAUUAAGUGACGUUCAGUCAGUUCAGUUCAGUCGCUCAGUCGUGUCCGACCCCAUGAAUCGCAGCACGCCAGGCCUCUCUGUCCAUCACCAACUCCCGGAGUUCACUCAGACUCACGUCCAUCGAGUCAGUGAUGCCAUCCAGCCAUCUCAUCCUCUGUCGUCCCCUUCUCCUCCUGCCCCCAAUCCCUCCCAGCAUCAGAGUCUUUUCCAAUGAGUCAACACUUAGCAUGAGGUGGCCAAAGUACUGGAGUUUCAGCUUUAGCAUCAUUCCUUCCAAAGAACACUGGGACUGAUCUCCUUCAGAAUGGACUGGUUGGACCAGACACAAAAGUAUUGUAUGAGUCCAUUUACACGAGGUACCAAGAGCAGUCAAAUUCAAAGAGACAGAAAGUAGAAUUGUGGUUGCCAGAGGCUGGAGGGAGGACAGAAUGGGGAGUUAUUGUUUAUUGGGUACACAGGUUCAGUUUGGGAUGUUGAAAAGUUCUGGUAAUACACAAGGUAAUGACUGCACAACAAUGUGAAUGCCACUUAAUGCCCCUGAAUUGUACACUUAGAAAUGGUUACAAUGGUGAAUUUUAUGUUGUAUCUUAUAUUUUUGUUUUUUAUUUUUUGUAUUUUUUAUGUUGUAUCUUACAACUAAAAAAAUGAAAGAAAAAUAAAUGUCAGAGUUGGAUCAGGA
Long non-coding RNA from Bos taurus (domestic cattle), 1715 nucleotides. Lineage: Eukaryota; Metazoa; Chordata; Mammalia; Artiodactyla; Bovidae. The record is from Ensembl.